CCCUUAGACACUCUAGGCGGCACGCGCGCUACACUGGGUGGAAGAACGUGUUACUGCCAUCGAAAGGUGGGGUGAAUCACGAAUUCUUGCCCGUGAAUGGGAUAGUUUGUUGCAAUUUUCGGACUUGAACUAGGAAUCCCUUGUAAGCAUGCUCAAGAAUAGCGUGUUGAAUACGUCCCUGCCGUUUGUACACACCGCCCGUCGUUUCUUCCGACUGAUACUCAUUGUGAGUUGCAAGGAUCCUUCAUUGGAGAAUUGCCGCGAAUGCUCUGUAUUGGAGGAAGAAAAAGUCGUAACA
This 298-nucleotide ribosomal RNA is filed under the name uncultured eukaryote. Its description in RNAcentral is "partial 18S ribosomal RNA". It matches the Rfam family "Eukaryotic small subunit ribosomal RNA", at positions 1470 to 1796 of the family's 1831-position model. The record is from RNAcentral.